GUGGGGAAUAUUGGACAAUGGGCGCAAGCCUGAUCCAGCCAUGCCGCGUGAGUGAUGAAGGCCCUAGGGUUGUAAAGCUCUUUCACCGGUGAAGAUAAUGACGGUAACCGGAGAAGAAGCCCCGGCUAACUUCGUGCCAGCAGCCGCGGUAAUACGAAGGGGGCUAGCGUUGUUCGGAAUUACUGGGCGUAAAGCGCACGUAGGCGGGUAUUUAAGUCAGGAGUGAAAUCCCGGAGCUCAACUCCGGAACUGCCUUUGAUACUGGGUACCUGGAGUAUGGAAGAGGUAAGUGGAAUUCCGAGUGUAGAGGUGAAAUUCGUAGAUAUUCGGAGGAACACCAGUGGCGAAGGCGGCUUACUGGUCCAUUACUGACGCUGAGGUGCGAAAGCGUGGGGAGCAAACAGGAUUAGAAACCCUUGUAGUCC
Molecule: ribosomal RNA, 425 nt
Filed under: uncultured bacterium
Lineage: Bacteria
Description: partial 16S ribosomal RNA
Rfam family: Bacterial small subunit ribosomal RNA
Source: RNAcentral